GUGGGGAAUAUUGGGCAAUGGGCGAAAGCCUGACCCAGCAACGCCGCGUGAGGGAAGAAGGCCUUCGGGUUGUAAACCUCUGUCCUUGGUGACGAAACAAAUGACGGUAGCCAAGGAGGAAGCCCCGGCUAACUACGUGCCAGCAGCCGCGGUAAUACGUAGGGGGCGAGCGUUGUCCGGAAUUACUGGGCGUAAAGGGUGCGUAGGUGGCCUUUUAAGUUGGAUGUGAAAUACCCGGGCUUAACUUGGGGGGUGCAUCUAAUACUGGAGGGCUAGAGUGCAGGAGAGGGAAGCGGAAUUCCUAGUGUAGCGGUGAAAUGCGUAGAUAUUAGGAGGAACACCAGUGGCGAAGGCGGCUCACUGGCUCGAUACUGACGCUGAGGUGCGAAAGCGUGGGGAGCAAACAGGAUUAGAUACCCCGGUAGUCC
Molecule: ribosomal RNA, 428 nt
Filed under: uncultured bacterium
Lineage: Bacteria
Description: partial 16S ribosomal RNA
Rfam family: Bacterial small subunit ribosomal RNA
Source: RNAcentral